RNAcentral lists this ribosomal RNA (253 nucleotides) under uncultured bacterium. RNAcentral describes it as "partial 16S ribosomal RNA". It matches the Rfam family "Bacterial small subunit ribosomal RNA", at positions 524 to 776 of the family's 1533-position model. The record is from RNAcentral.
UACGUAGGUGGCAAGCGUUAUCCGGAUUUACUGGGUGUAAAGGGCGUGUAGGCGGGAGAGCAAGUCAGACGUGAAAUUCCAGGGCUCAACCCUGGAACUGCGUUUGAAACUGUUCUUCUUGAGUGAUGGAGAGGCAGGCGGAAUUCCUAGUGUAGCGGUGAAAUGCGUAGAUAUUAGGAGGAACACCAGUGGCGAAGGCGGCCUGCUGGACUGCAACUGACGUUGAGGCUCGAAGGCGUGGGGAGCAAACAGG